Molecule: long non-coding RNA, 3364 nt
Organism: Panicum virgatum (switchgrass)
Lineage: Eukaryota; Viridiplantae; Streptophyta; Magnoliopsida; Poales; Poaceae
Exons: 7
Source: RefSeq, a predicted model, not a curated record
CUGGUCUAUCUUCCGUUUCCUUCCUUCUCUGCCGCACCAAUUCCCUCCCCUUCGCUCCCCUUCCGACGCCCACCCGCACGCCCCUCCUCCGCCAGAUCUCCGCGGCGGUACCGGAGGCCUUCCUCACUGUCGCGGCAGAGCUCCUCCACCGCCGCCGAAGACCCGGGUCCGGCGGCCCUUGAGCUGGGGCACAAGCUGACCCACGCCCUCCUCCGCCGCCAGCUCAGCGCCACCGACCCGCGCCGCGGACACCGUCACUCCGGCCUGCGCUCCACCUAGCCGCGGGCGCCGACGCCACGCCUCCUCCGCCAGCUCUCCGCGGGGCCAGCUCUCCUAAUCUCGUGAUCCCCAAUCCGGAGGUCUCCGAGUCGCCGAUCAGGGAGCUCAGGGGCUCGGAUUCGAGCUCCUACUCGUGGCCCAUGCUCUCCCCCGCGCUCGUGAUCUCACCCUGCUCCGAUGUCCCAGCCGCGCCUCCCCGCCGGCCCUAACCGCUGCACCCCCCUGCUCUCCUCCGCACUCGCCGACGCCUCUGACCUGCAACGAGCCGGUGCUCCCUACGAUCUGCUCCGAUCCGAGGUCCUCGCCGUCGGCCCUGCGUUCAUCGUCGGCGCCACGUUCACCAUCACACUCGGACCUGCAACGCCAUGGACUAUUCCGCGCGCUCACGAUCUCGCCCAGCUGCGGACGCCGUCGCUGCGCCACCCUCCCAACCGCGCCGCCGCUGCGGACGACGUCGCCACGCCGCCCUCCUCACCGCGACUCCCCAUGGUGCUUCCGUGGAACCUGAGCGCAUCUCGCCCAUAUGGCUCUCUCUGCUCUUAGGGAGCACAAACUAAGGAGUCGGGAGCUUCCAGCGUCAGGCCUAGGCUUCACUGCACAACCUGAUUGUGUAAAUUCAUUUGGCUUUCUCUUCUCAUGGAUAUUGACGAACCAAGAACUCCACGUAUACUGGCACCGCUGCUACCGAAUACUGGCAGCGGAGGCAGCUCAAUAGCCGCGGGAUCGGGUGGUGCUCAAGCCACCUUCCUCCGGCGCAGGACCAUAGGUGUUUUUCUCUUCGUCGCCUGAUCAUCCCCAAUUAUCAUCCAUGCUCUUGAGCUACUUGAAGUUUCUAUGGGAUGAUCUGGUUCAUGUGAUAGUGGUUUCAAUACUGCCAUCAAGAUUGGUGGUGAUCCGAGCGUUUUGAGGGCAAAUGAUGGGAAGGACAUGUGCUAGCGGCGUUGACAUACUCUUCUUCUUGAGGUAGGAGUGAGGAGGAAGGCCGAACCUUCUGAAACAGCCAGCAAAAUUGAGAGUUAACCGAGGAUCGCGCAGCGGCCGCCGCUCCAGCCGACAAUGAUCCCUCCAUCACAGUACUGUAGGAAGAUUGAAAAAUAGCAGACUAAAGUAGAGAAAUAGUUCAAGAUAUGUGGCAUAACGAUGCCAUCAUUCAUUCCUAACAUCAAACAGGGGCUGUUCUAAUACAUAUUUUUUGCUUACUAUGAGAAGAAGGUAUGAACAAAUAGAAUCUUUUCUUCAUUCACACAUUGCAAUGGUCAUUCUUAAUUGAUCUGUUGAAAGGAAACCAUGUUCAUGGGCAAGUUGCUUGGAUAUACUGAUUCUCGUGGGAACCAAUGCAUUUAGGUCUUCUCAUUAUUUACAAAAGAUUGUGCUGAUAUAGGAUUAUCUACUACUAUUCCAGGUUUCAAUAUAUUUACAAACUAAUUGAUCAGUCCUUCAGAGGCUUCCAGGUUCAGCCGUGGUCAUCAUGAGUACAAGCUGCUAAGAGCAACAACCGUGUGGAGCAUUGCAGGUUCUGUGAAUUGUGGUAAUAAAUAAUGGGUUAACAAGCAUGCCGUGGUCAGCAUUGAGAAACCUCCUGUUUGUUCUUCCUGCUAUUCCAAGAUGAUUUGGAGAGGAAGGCUGUUUGUUCUUCCUGCUAUUCCAAGAAGAUCUGGAGAAGAAGGCUGAGGUGCUCGAGAAGAAAAUAUUUCUACUUUGGGGCCAUGUUUCCAAACUGAUAGCAGCAGGAUUGACUAAUUUCAGGUUUGAUUUGGUUAUUCUAUUCUCUUCUCGAUUUAAUGAAUGCUUUGAUAUUUUCCGCUAAUUAAAGGUGGGUUGUGAUUGUGCCAGGAAGAGUAUUAGUGAUGGGGUUAAAUACUAAGACCUUAGCUAAGUUAUCUCUAUAUAUAAAUGGAGGUUUUUUCCUUUGGGUGUUUUUUCAUUCAUUAAGUUCCAACUUUUUUAUUGCUGUAUGUACCAAGCUGAAUGCCAUACAUGAGCUCCAAUAUGUCUGUUCUAAGAGAUUUACCUGAUAAUACUAUAUGCCAAUAUUAAGUUAUUUUUGUUACAGUCAAGGACACAGUUAGAAUGCUUGCAUGGUAGAGCUCACAAGUUCAAGGAAUAUGGCUACAAUGCAGUCCUUAUGCAAUCUGAUUCUGUCAAGUAUGCUCUUAUGCAACAUGUGCUAUUUUUUUUCUACUGCAGCCAUUUGUGGAGAGUUUAUCUAAAUGCCUAAAGCAUGGGCUUUACAAUCCACUUAAAGCAAGAUCAAAGCAUUGCAGAUGCGAUAUACAUCACUAACAGUGUUUCAUUCUCCUUUGUAAUUUUUGACAUUCCUGUUUUCUGCCUUUAUUUACAAAAUUUGGUUACUUAUUCUGUCUCAAGUCUAAACUUUACUAUCAGCUGAUGGAGUACUGGAUACCUGACCAAUCUUUGCUUUUAUGGAAUUAUAUGCACUACAUUAUUUGUCCAUAUGUUCAAUCCUAGCAUCUGCAGUUUAUUCUCAGUAAGACUGUGUUAGGCUGCAGCACAAUGCUAAUAAAUUUGAUUCAUCCAGAAGAUAUUAUUUUUACUACUGCAACAAGUUUUGGAUGUCAAAAAGAUCUAUGAAGAGAUUAGCUGCAUUGCAUCGAGUUUUAUUUGUCAAAGGUCUAGGAGAAAUUAGAACGGUAGACAUAUUGCUAACUAAUUAGACAAAAAUAUUAGUACAGUAGACAUACCAGUAUGCUUGAUCACUUUCAGUAUGCCUUAUUCUGUUCUGAUUAUCUAACUCCUAUGAAGUUGAAUAUCUUUUCCUCAUGUGUAAACUGUAUGUUAAUGCUGACGUGUAAUUUCCAGAGGUGAAAUCCGAAGGGUGUAGACUCCUAGGGGGUGAGAGAAUAGAGUGUAGAGCUGAAGGGUGAAGCUGAAGGCACCGCAAGAUCCCAGAACAAGACGCUCGAGAAAUGGGAUCGGCGGCAGCAAGGACACGAGGGCUGGAGGGGAGGAGCAACUCGAUUCUAUAUGGAUGGAUCUUGCUACAUUUUUUAAGUCUUGUAUGCUACUGUUGGCCAUAUUUUAAAUUCCGUAUCAAUCAAUAAUCAACAUUAAUGGAUUGAGACAA